GUUCUUAUGGUGUAUGUUUAACACACUACAUUUUCAUUGUAGAGAUAAGUAUAUUAGUGACUUUAAGAAUA
RNAcentral lists this transfer RNA (71 nucleotides) under Paraglypturus tonganus (nomen nudum). RNAcentral describes it as "tRNA-Glu". The record is from RNAcentral. Lineage: Eukaryota; Metazoa; Arthropoda; Malacostraca; Decapoda; Callianassidae.